Molecule: ribosomal RNA, 253 nt
Filed under: uncultured bacterium
Lineage: Bacteria
Description: partial 16S ribosomal RNA
Rfam family: Bacterial small subunit ribosomal RNA
Source: RNAcentral
UACGUAGGUGGCAAGCGUUAUCCGGAUUUAUUGGGCGUAAAGGGAACGCAGGCGGUCUUUUAAGUCUGAUGUGAAAGCCUUCGGCUUAACCGGAGUAGUGCAUUGGAAACUGGGAGACUUGAGUGCAGAAGAGGAGAGUGGAACUCCAUGCGUAGCGGUGAAAUGCGUAGAUAUAUGGAAGAACACCAGUGGCGAAAGCGGCUCUCUGGUCUGUAACUGACGCUGAGGUUCGAAAGCGUGGGUAGCAAACAGG